RNAcentral lists this long non-coding RNA (238 nucleotides) under Lathyrus oleraceus (garden pea). Its description in RNAcentral is "Pisum sativum (pea) long non-coding RNA (PSAT_LNC024953)". Lineage: Eukaryota; Viridiplantae; Streptophyta; Magnoliopsida; Fabales; Fabaceae. The record is from RNAcentral.
GACCUUCGCAACCAAAGGUGAAAGAUGGAGUGCAAUGUUAAUGCCAGGUCAAUUAUUCAGUGAAUGUUGUAUGAAAGUGAUGAAAGAGGAAACUAUCAAAGCUAGCACACAUGCAAUUACAAUCUUUGACCUUCAUAGGAAAAAUUUCAGUGUAUAGGAAACAAUGGACCAUAAUGAGGGGAGGCCAAAUUUACCCCAUGAUGUCAGACUAAACAGAAGUUGACGCGACUGUGAAAAG